This 8554-nucleotide long non-coding RNA is filed under the name Marmota monax (woodchuck). Lineage: Eukaryota; Metazoa; Chordata; Mammalia; Rodentia; Sciuridae. The record is from RNAcentral.
CGGAGGGUCGCGCGCUCUCUCUCUUCCGGGGUCGCGGCGGGUCGGUGCGGGCAGAGUCCACUCUAGCAAGCUCCAGGUCUACACCCGUGGGGGCUGACCGCCCGCCGCCUCCCCGGACCCUGCCGCAGAAGCGGAGCAGGCUGUGUGGACGCGGGGCCCGCAGGCGAGGAGAGGGGGCGGGUCGGGAGGGAGUCUGGGCGCACCCGCCGCAGGCACCGGAGGAGCGCCGGCGUGUGGGCGCCGCCCCCGCGGGAGGAGGAGAAGGCUGGCAGCCGGUGACUGCGUGGGUUCCAUGGAGCAGAAAUGGAGCCCUCUAGCACACAGACUAAAGGCUUUACGCUGCAGGAGAGGAAUCCUAAAAACGUGACCUUGGGACUAUAGCAUGUCGUGGUGUCAACAUUAGGUCACUGUGUUGCUCAAACUGUGUUUCCAGUGACAAUCUAAUUAAAGCUAACAUAGUUAAUAAUAUUAACACGUGAGUGCUUCCUCUCCACAACUCAAAAAAGGUAGGUGUUGAUGUUAUUCCCAUUUUAAAGAUGAGGACACAAGCUCAGGGAAUGACACACAUUUUUUUUUAAUUUAUUUAUUUUUUUAUUGGUUGUUCAAAACAUUACAUAGUUCUUGACAUAUUUCAUACAUUUGAUUCAAGUGGGUUAUGAACUCCCAUUUUUACCUCACAUCGGUUACACAUCCACGUUUUUACAUAUUGCCAAACUAGUGACUGUUGUAUUCUGCUACCUUUCCUAUCCUCUACUAUCCCCCCUCCCCUCCCCUUCCCUCCCCUCCCAUCUUCUCUUUCUACCCCAUCUACUGUAAUUCAUUUCUCUCCCUUGUUUUUUUUUCCCCUUUCCCCUCACAUCCUCUUAUAUGUAAUUUUGUAUAACAAUGAGGGUCUCCUUCCAUUUCCAUGCAAUUUCCCUCCCCUCUCCCUUUCCCUCCCACCUCUCGUCCCUGUUUAAUGUUAAUCUUUUUCUCAUGCUCUUCCUCCCUGCUCUGUUCUUAGUUGCUCUCCUCAGAGCAAAGAAGACAUUUGGCAUUUGUUUUUUAGGGAUUGGCUAGCUUCACUUAGCAUAAUCUGCUCUAAUGCCAUCCAUUUCCCUGCAAAUGCCAUGAUUUUGUCAUUUUUUAGUGCUGAGUAAUACUCCAUUGUGUAUAAAUGCCACGUUUUUUUAAUCCGGGAAUGACACACAUUGUAAAUGGUGGACCCUGGGGAUUUGAACCUACUGCAUCUGGACUGGGAGGAAAAUGCAGAAUGAAAAAGGGGGAUGUCUGGUUAAAAAAAAAAAAGGCACAGCCUGACACCGUGGCUAAAACAGUGCCACUUAGAUCUAGUUUCCCCUGUGCUAGAGUUUUCAUCUGGAAUGCCUCUCAAAGGCCCAUGUGUUAAAGGGGUGGUCCCCCAGCUGGGGGCGGUAGGGAGGUGCGGCCUAGUGAGAGGUCUUCAGAUAAUUGACGUGUACUCUUAAAGGGAAUAAUGGAACCUCAGCCCCUUCUUCUUCCUCUGUUUUCACUUGUCAGGCAUGAAGUGAGUGGGUUUGCUGCCUCACUGAAGCCAGAUUUAAAGAUAGGUAGUUAGUAUAGUUAGGUAAAUUGGUCUAAUAUUGAGUAAAGUAAAGAAAAUGGAGGCCAUUAUUGAGAAUGGAGUCCAGGAAAUCAGAGCAGCACUUGGGGAAAUUGAAAUGUUAAUGUCCCCAAGGCCCAGAACCCAUCCUAAGAAACUGUUAAUGAAACAGCUCCCAGCAAACAGGGAACUAAUCCAAAAACUGCCCCAGGCCCUUCCUGCCCAGAUUACUCCUCCAGCCCACUUAUCUCCCACCUGUUGAGCCUUCCUACCUGCAGACUAUCACUGCAGGAUAAAGGGAAACAAAGGACUUGGAUGUGGGGAAAGUAAAAGAAGACCUUAGCUAUAAAAGAGGGAAGGCCUCCCCCUCCUUUCAGGUUCUCUUCUUCUGGGGAGAAGUCUUUUCUGCUGUCCUUUAAUAAAGCUUUUACUUUCCACUCUACACUUGCCUCAGCAUGCUUCUCUGGUGUUUUACUUCAGCAUUCGGGGAAGCAAGGACUCCUCACUGGUAAAUAGCAGUAACAUCAUCACAGGCUCCAAAGCAACAGGGCCAGUAGAUCAUGAAACCUCCCAAACUGAGCCAAAACCUUUUCUCUUUCUAAGUUAAUUAUCUUUGGUAUUUGUUGCAGUAGUGGAAAGCUGAGGAACAUAUUCACUUGUCUGCCUUCUUGCUUCUUUCUGAGAAUGCAGAUUUUUCCCUGACAAUCAUGGCUGGGAAGCCCCAGACGGGCCAACUCCAGUGGAAGAGAAAGAAGGACCCUCCUCUUAACCCUGCAUGUCUUUGUGGAGCCCUACAUCUAACUGCGACCCUCUCUUAACACCUAUGAAAUUAGUAUUUGUGGAUUUCGUUGGGAGAUUUGGGUAGACCCUGCCCAAAGUGUGAAGGCUCAAAGAGGCAAAGGGCUUCCUCAGAGGAAGCAUAGCAUACUAUUAGCAGAAGAAGAAUGAGUGGCCACUGUACUGCAGAAACAUUAGUGUGGAGGAGGAGAGACCUGGAUUCUAUUGCCUGUGACACAUCCAUUUUUCCCCUUUGGUCUCAGUUUUCUUAUUAAAAGAGGCAUUGAUGGGCUGGGGUUGAGGCUCGGGAUGGGGUUGUGGCUCAGUGGUAGAGCGUUUGCCUAGCACGUGUGAGGCCCUGGGUUUGAUCCUUAGCAUCACAUAAAAAUAAAUAAAUAAAAUAAAGGUAUUGUGUACAUUUACCACUAAAAAAAAUAAUAAUAAGAUAUUUUAAAAAAAAAGAGGCAUUGAUUAGGUGCUCGUGAUGGCUCCUUGCAGUGCUCAUAUACUGUGCCAGUUCCAUACCAGUUUCCUUGAAUUUAGGGUCUGAUACAGCAGACCUGGGACCCCUGUCCUCUCUACCCCCAGUUCUUUCAUUUUGUGCAGAUCUAGCUCCCUUCAAUGGUCAGGAAGUCUAUGUUUUUUGCCCUCACCACAAAGAAUAAUCCUCAUUCCUAUUUUGCUUUAUUUUUACCUCUUUCAUUUCUUGUUUCCUCUGUCUUAACCUUGCCACUUCUUUCCAGGCCAGACAGUGGGUUCAGAUCCCAGCUCUGUCAGUGUGAAUCACUCAGGCUGUGAACCUGAGUCCUGGCUUGUAAGUUAACGCUGUCACUUGCCUCUUUGGGUUGUUGGGAGGAUGAAGUGGAAGGAAUGCAGCAUCCAGCACAGUAUUAUCAUAUCCUCUGCAUAUUUUGAUUUAGGGUACUUGGCCAUUUGCAUCCUUGCUCACUGCUUAGAGUUCUAGAAACACUUGAGGAGCAACACAGGUAGAGGACUGUUUUCUGGAUGAAAGACUUCUUGCAUCUGUGUGUGGUGCUGGAGACAUGGAGGGAUGGCUAAGGAUUGAGGGAGGAAGGGCUACUACACUGCCGAGAUGGUUGCCUAUCAGCUCGGAUCUUGCCCACCAGCUGACCCUCCUUGGUAGCCUCUUUUCUGCCAGUUUCCUGAGCUUUGAGGCCCCAGCUUCAGCAGAAGCUGGCCCUGCCCUGUUCUGAGUGUAGGCUUCCUACACAUAGCACCUACUGUCUGAGGUGUCCUACUCACCUUCUUUCUUCCUGAUCAUUCUCAUUUAGCCUUCAAGUCUCAGGGCAAAGGUCAGCUCUUACCAGAGGGGAAAGUAGGCGUGCAUUUUCAUGCCCUCAUAAUUUGUACAUUCUCCAUUCUGGCCCUUCACAUGAUGUUAUAAUUGUUUUCUCUCCUGUUUCCCUGACCAUGCUGUGAGAUCUUUGAGAGAGUGAUGUUUUCAUACAUAUUCGAAUGUCUAGGGCUUAAUGAUUGGCUAACCCAUGACAGGUACUGCAUUUAUAUUAAGGAAGGAAUACAAUGCCCCCUCACCCUGCAGAAAACCAGCAGGUCAUGCACUGAAAAAUGUUGGAAGAGCCGCAGAGAAAGGGCAGAGAUGAGUCAAACUGGCCAAUCGGUGUCUGUCUCCCUGUCUCUGCUUUCUCUCCUGCCUGCAUCAGCAGUGUAUGUGGCCAUUAGCUGGAGGGGGAAGUGGUUAGUCUUUCUCUCUUUUGCCACGGUUAGAUUCUUUUUUCUUCUGUGAAAGCUUACUUUCUGGGAGUACACUCUUAAUCACAAGUGGUUCCCAGUAUAGUGUUUUUACUUACAUUUUGCUUGCGGUCAUGCCUCCUUUGUAAAGCCAGUCACAUGUCUGGCAGUGAGCCUGGUCCUCCUGAGUGGACCCUGGCCAGCCCUGCUUCUUGGCUUUGUCUGCCUCUUCUCCCCGCUUGGACCUGGAGUGGUCCUCCUUCCUUUACACUCUGCUAAUUAAAUCAAGUUCAACACUUGUUUUUUCCUUGUGCCGAUUAAUGUGCUAAGUGAAGCGGCUAAAAUGUUGUUCCCCCCGCCCUCCCCGAUCCCUGGCAGGGCAAACCGUCUGCAGGAAAGCAAAAUCUGAAAUUCAUGUCCAGGUUCUUAUAUCAAAACACACACAAAAGUGCCCUGCAGUGAAGUAAUGUUUUAUUUCUAAAAACACAAAUAAAUAAACCACCAAAGAUUAGAACCCUAAAUCUUCUAGAAUUUAAAACAGAUAAACAGUGGACCAGACCUAGAAGUCAAUGAUAGUCCCUUAGCCCUGUCUAGAUUAGUCUCAAGUUUGAGACUAACCUAGACAGCUUAAUGAGAUGCUGUCUCAAAAUAAAAAGGUCUGGGGAUGUAGCUCAGUGGUAGAAUGGAUUAUGUAAAGUCAGUUGUGCAAGCAUGGCUGAAUGAGACCUUCCUUUGAAAGACGUUUAUAGAUUUUCCUAUGAGUUAUGUUCUUCCUUAGCACUAUUGUCUCUUCACAUUGGCCAGAGAUAUUUUCAUCUCAGGCUGAAAAAGCACAAUAGGAAAAGAACAAUAUACAAGAGGGCCGGAGAGUCCGCAUGCAACCUGUGGGGUUUUGAGUUCUGUGCAUACAGGUGUUUCAUUAAGGGUUGAGCAGGAUAAACUGAUAUGGUCCAUGGUAAAGUACAAGGGUCAGGAGUAGAAGGAAAGCCAGCUUUACUCACUUAACAGAAACUACUCUCCAGGAAGCGAGAUAAAACUUGCACUCCUACCUUUAUUUAAAACCCCUACUCUUUAUGUACUGGUAGACACACACCCUUCUGUAUUUAGGAGGAGGCUGGAGCUUGCUUUAUGCAUGAUUCUCUUCUCUGCCACAUGACUGCUAUUGGUGGAUAACAGUUUGAGGAGUGUCUAAUGAUGGUAAAAUCACAGGUUGUCUUCAGAAACCCAAGUAUAAUCCAUGUAUGUUAUACCUAUAUGUGAAAGCAUACCUGGGUUGGGGUAUAGCUGAUUGGUUCAGUGCUUAUCUAGCACAGUUGGGGCCCUGGGUUUAAUCCCUAGCAUUGCAAAAAUAAAUAAAUAAAGGGAACAUGCCUCCUGUAUAUUUUGGUUUUAGAAAUAUAAUUUGUUGCAUCAGUUAUUGAAACUAAAUGAUCUUUCAUUGUACUUGUGUUUUAUAAUCAUGUACACAAAUGAGUUUUAUUAGGAUCAUUACUCCAGGUGAUUUUUUUCAAUCCUAAGCCUCAUCAGCUCGCUCUCCAACACAGAAAUGGAACUUUGCCAACUGUUGCUGCAGGCAGGAUUUGCCCUCCACAGGACCUGAAAAGGCACUUCCUGGUCUCUGCUCCGCUGAGCCUCACAGGGCACUGAGCAUGCAGGGCACUGAGCAUGCAGGGCACUGAGGAUUCUUGCCACCCAGCCAGCAGGUGGGAACUUCUAUAAUAUUCAGUUAUGCUUCUCUAAACCUCUUCAAAAGCCAGUCGUGUACAGUGAUCAGAAUUAGAUGAACAAAGAAAUAAUACAUUUUUUCAACGAGAAAAGCUUAAGGAAAUUGUAUAGACACUUUUGAAAGUAAAAGGGGAUGCUAACUAGAUGAUCUGAUAGGACAAGAGGCCUAAGCCUAACUAAACAUAUGGCCACUCUCAGGAUAGAUGUACAGGAGAAAAACAGAAUAAACCUUUUAAGAGAUAAUAAAGGAAAUAUUCUACAUGGGCAUAGCCUGCAAUCCCAGCUACCCAGGAGAGUGUAGCAGGAUAAUCUCAAGUUUGAGGCUAACCUGGACAGCUUGGUGAGAUGCUGUCUCAAAAUAAAAAGGUCUGGGGAUGUAGCUCAGUGGUAGAACACUUGCCUAGCAUUCACAAAGUCUGGGUUCAAUCUCCAGUAUCAAAAAAGAAACGAGUAGAGUGCAUGUCUCUCAUGCACAAAGCCCUGGGUUCAGUCCCAGCACCACAGAAAGAAAAGGAAAUAUCCCAAAGAUCUUGAAAUAAGGAAGAAUUAGAAAAAACCAAAGACACAGCAGGGCACAGUGACACUCGCCUAUAAUCCCAGCAGCUUGGGAGGCUGAGACAGGACUGUGAGUUCAAAGCCAGCUCAGCAACAGUGAGGCACUAAGCAACUCAGUGAGACCCUGUCUCCAAGUACAAAAAAGGGCUGGGGAUGUGGCUCAGUGGUUCAGUGCUCCUGAGUUCAACCCCUGCUCCCCACUGGAAAAAAAAAAACAACAACAACACAAAAGGAACUAACCUUAAAGAAAAAAACAGAUACAUUCAACUACUUUAAAAUCAAGAGCUUUUCUUUACAGACACCAUUAAGAGGGGGAAAAGGUGAGCACAGAGUGAGAGAAGGUAUUUGCAACACACAACCAACAAAGAGCUAGGAUCCAGAACACAGGAAGAAGUGCAAAUUGUGGGGAAAAGACCUACAUGAAGUGGGGGGAGAAAAAGGCAAAGGACAUCAAGAGGCAUUUGGAAAAAAAGAAAAAAACAAAUGGCCAAUAAACACAGAAACUGCUCCUCCUCAGUAGUAAGCAGGGAAAUGCUGUCACUGGGGAAAUCAGUGACAUCACCAAGAAAGGUGGAGGUGGGAGCUCCCUGAGGCCUUAACUGUACACACAGCAGAGAACAUCAGGGAGUCCUUGGCAGCGCUGUUCCUAACAGCCCUGAUGUGCAUCCCCAGUGGGGUUGGUGGAUAAUUGUGAUGUGGUCCUACAGUGGAAUGUUUUUGGUGACACAAAAUGAAUAGGGUACAACUAAAUGUGACAACAUGAAUGAUUCUUGAACAUGUGCUAAACAAAACAAAAAAACAGUCUUUGUGAUAUUAUUUAUAUGUGAAGUUCAAAAACAGCAAGAACUUCAUCAUAAUGGCUGAAGGUGUGUGUUUGAUGAUGAAAAAUAAGGUACCCAGGCAAAGUGUGCACUCCUGUAAUCGGAGCCACUGGGGAGGCUGAGGCAGGAGGACCUAAGUUCAAGGCCAACCUCAGCAAUUUAGCAAGACCUUGAGCAACUUAGUGAGACCCUUUCUCAAAAUAAAAACUAAAAAGGACUGGGGAUGUAGCUCAGUAGUAAUGUCCCUGGAUUCCAUCCCUAGUACAAAAAAAAAAAAGAAAAGAAAGGAUUAAGGCAAAGGAAGUAUUACCAUAAUGUUACCUUUGGAGUACCAAGGGGACAUGUAGACCUGGGGGUGUUCCAAUUCUUGACAGGGGUGAUGAUUAUUUAAGUUUAAAUUGAUUCGCAACAUUUAUGUCCCCUACACACUUUGUAUUAUGUUUUACAAUGAUUUUUUUUUCUUUUUUCUUAAAAAGGACAUGGUAAAAGCAGCUGUUUUUACAUGAUUUCACAUGAAUGACAUAACUAAUCCAGUACCAUAUCCAAUUGCUUAAAAUGCCUUGUCUUGAACAACCCAGAGAAAAGACAAGAUAAUGGGCCUAGGAGGGCCCUGGGGUGAUGGUGACACCAUCUCUUUCAUACAUAAUUUGAUUCAAAAUAUUUACAUAAAACCAGACUGGAGAAAGCUGGAGACAGCCAUUUGGAGCACGUUCUUUGGGCUGCGGACUCUGGAGUCUAUCAUGCUCGGCCACUCCGGUGCAGAUGAAGCCGCUGGGGCCCGAAGGGAUGUCACUCCCUGGAUAAGCUGCUCGGGUUUCACGUUCUGCCACCACCGAUUCGUGUCCAGCCGUGGUGGUUUUCCGCGCAGGAACUGAACGAACCUUUGGUGUUUCACCUGGACCCCUGGCUGGUAGACCCAAUUUUUGGCCAAGACGGAACCGUACUCUCGGAAAUGGAGUGGAUGAGCCAGGCUUUGCUGAGGGUGGACCCAACCGACACCAGGGAACUAGUCGAAAUCACCGUGUUUGGGCAGCCCGGCGUGAAGACUCGGGUAAAGAACAUUCUCCAGAGCCUGGCAGUGUGGUUCCGAGAACUUCGUGACCAACGGGCUAAGAAGAUAAAACGCCUUGAGGAGUUCUUGAAGGCUCAUUCACCAUAUCCAGAAACUAUCCAGCAUCCAGUUUAAUACAAACAAGAUGGCAAUAAUUAGACCAAUGAGGACAGCCUGCUGAAGAGAUGGAAGACAAGUAUUCUUAAAUCUCUACAUUACUUUUUCCUGUGCCUUUUGAAUAGUGGUUUAUUUUGUGGUAAAUGUAUUUGUAGAACUAUUCUAAUGAAAUUUGUCUGGAAUAGUCUUUUCACGUGAAAUAAAGCAAAUUUACAAAAAAAAAUAUUUACAUAAAAC